CUCAGCUCACUGCAACCUCCACCUCCCAGGUUCAAGUGAUUCUGCUGCCUCAGCCUCUUGGGUAGCUGGGACUACAGGGGCCCACCACCAUGCCCGGCUAAUUUUUUUAUUUUUAGUAGAGACAGGGUUUCUCCAUGUUGGCCAGGCUGAUCUCAAACUCCUGACCUCAGGUGAUCCACCUGUCUCGGCCUCCCAGAGUGCUGGGAUUACAAGCUUGGGCCACCACGCUCGGCCUGAAAUUGAUUUUUAUAUAGCUACUUCUCAAAACAUCCUUCAGCACAGAUGACUUCAUAUGCAAAAAUUUAUUCAGAUUUUCAACCCAGUCAUUGUUAUGCUAUUUUAACUGUUGAUGAGCAUAAAGAAAAAGCAAGUUUUUUAGUUCUUGUUAUGACUAAAAUGGUGCUAAGCCCCCCUUCAGUAGCUAUGUAUCAAAAUCUCUAAAAGAAGGACCUAAAAAGUUAUUACUCAAAUCGAAUGAUCAUUUAACAUGAAUAAAUCAAAGUAGAAAACAAUAAGUCAGUCUUGGAAUUUAACAUCCAUUUCUCAUUUUUAAAAAAAAGUAAGGAUAACAUUAACAUGUUAAAAAUAAUAGUCCUAAACCAAUAGCUAAUAACAUAAAUAUCAGAAGCUAGAACAAAGAUCCAUUACCACCACUUUUGUUCAUCGUUUUUCUUUGAGCACCAGUCAAUGAAGUCAAACCAGGGAAUAGAGUCAGAACCCCAAAAUAAGUAACUGAGGGAUUAUGUAAAUAUGUCCCCAUACCUAACUGUUAUAACAAAAUAAGGUCACAUUUCCUUUCAUACUCAAUUUAUGUCUUUGAGUCUUUCUCCCACCAACAACCACAAGCCCCUUCUACCAAUUUCACUUCCUCAAGUACUUUCCGGGACUCAGUCCCUGAUUAGUGCUUUCAGUUUGUUAAGUAUAUGUUGGCAGGAGCUUAACACCUGCUCUCCACUGCCAACUUCACCCCCAUUCCACAUUCUUUCCCAAUCCAGUAAGCCACUCCGCAUCCCCGGGCCCCUGGUGCUGCCUGCUAACAAGCUCCUCAAGGUCUGCCCACCAUGAACAUCAUAAUGUUAUGGUGCUGAGUCAUUUCAUUCAAUUGUCUCAAGCAUUUUCAUUGUAGAAAGAGAUCUUUGUUUUUAUUUUUUAAUAACUAAAAUUUACAUUGACUUUUUAAACUAAGAAUCUUUGCCUCCAAGAUAAAUUUUUUCUCUAUCUUGAGAACAACAGUAAACAACAUCAGGAAGUUUUAAAACUGCUUUCAGAUUAUCACGGUUCCAGAAAUAAUGUAUUUUGUAUUUCAGUCUUAAAGGAGCAUAUUCCCUUUGCAAGCCCUGGAGUUCAGUAAGCUGGAUUCUUAGCUAGUGUCUCCAUAAAGUGGACACGGAAAGGAAGAGAAUGUAGACACAUCAAAAGGACGCCUCGUCAGUUGAGAAACAAGGCAUUUUCAAGAAGCAGUAACAGAAGAUCAUGAGGAUGAACCAAUCCAGUAAAGACCCUUGUAUGUAGUUCUUAGUGGUUCAUUAGCGACCUUUAAGGAAGCAGUAUCAAUGGGAUAAUGAAUAAAGGGUAAAUAGGGGUUGCACUAUGAGUUACAUAAUUUGUUUUUCAAAAAUUGUUAAUAUAAUAAGUGUGUCAGUUAUUAAGUUCUCUUCUAUCUCCAAAUCCAAGCUUCUAAACUUUGCUUUGGGUUGCUAAAGCAGUCACUAGACAAGCCAUUUCUGCAUUGCUGGCUGAUGCCUUAAUAGGCUGUGCCAACAGGAGAGGCGGAAUUCAAGGAUGGAGUAGGAAGGAGGAACUUGUUCCUCUUUGUUUCCUGCAGACCCCACGGGUCUUUCCUGCUUGUUUCCUAAGCAUCCCCUGACCAUGGUAUUUUUUUCCCCUUUUUUACCCUGACAGUAGCAGUCCCUUCCCACAGCAACGACUGAAUCCAACUUUUGCAAAUCCAGCCUUACUGUGCUUUCCCUUCCCCCACGCAUGCCAACAAUGGGAGACAGAAUGUUUGUGGGUGUGGAUUCUAAAGGUAUUAGACCAAGGUGGAUUUAAUGCAACGCUGGAAUCAGCUGAAUUUAUUGAUAUACGUGCAUUCAUCAGAGAUUCUGGAUUAAAUGUUUUAGUUUGGAUAGCUGCAAGUGGCUCUAUUAGGUUACUUUUUAAUUUACUUAUUUACUUGUUUGUUGCUUAUUUUUCCCCACUGCUGCAUGUGGCCAGGGAUUUUUAUCUGUUUUAUUUGCUGCUACAUUUUGGCAUCAGAAUCACACCUGAUAUACAGUACGUAAUAAAUAUUUGUUAAAGGAAUAAGUAAAUGAACACUAUGCUGAAAGUAAAAUUAGGGGAAAUAUUUACUUGGUCUGUUCUAGAUUUCUAAAAGGCUUGCCAAAUAAUGUCAUGCCACAUUAACUAUAUGGCUGUAAUAAUUAUUGCUGGUGAUGAUCUUAAUAUAUAUGUGCCCUUUUAUUUUAGGAAGUACUUUGAUGUAUGUCAGGCUUAAAACCCAGAUGACGGGUUGAUGGGUGCAGCAAACCACCAUGGCACAUGUAUACUUAUGUAACAAACCUGCAUGUUCUGCACAUGUAUCCCAGAACUUAAAGUAAACGGAAUAAAAAAGAAAGUAAUUUGUUUCCUGCAUUC
This 2634-nucleotide long non-coding RNA is filed under the name Homo sapiens (human). Its description in RNAcentral is "HSALNT0077181". The record is from RNAcentral. Lineage: Eukaryota; Metazoa; Chordata; Mammalia; Primates; Hominidae.